Molecule: ribosomal RNA, 460 nt
Filed under: uncultured bacterium
Lineage: Bacteria
Description: partial 16S ribosomal RNA
Rfam family: Bacterial small subunit ribosomal RNA
Source: RNAcentral
CCUACGGGUGGCAGCAGUGAGGAAUAUUGGUCAAUGGACGAGAGUCUGAACCAGCCAAGUAGCGUGAAGGAUGACUGCCCUAUGGGUUGUAAACUUCUUUUAUAUGGGAAUAAAACAGGGUAUGCAUACCCUCUUGUAUGUACCAUAUGAAUAAGGAUCGGCUAACUCCGUGCCAGCAGCCGCGGUAAUACGGAGGAUCCGAGCGUUAUCCGGAUUUAUUUGGUUUAAAGGGAGCGUAGGUGGAUUGUUAAGGCAGUUGUGAAAGUUUGCGGCUCAACCGUAAAAUUGCAGUUGAAACUGGCAGUCUUGAGUACAGUAGAGGUGGGCGGAAUGCGUGGUGUAGCGGUGAAAUGCUUAGAUAUCACGAAGAACUCCGAUUGCGAAGGCAGCUUACUGGACUGCAACUGACACUGAUGCACGAAAGUGUGGGUAUCAAACAGGAUUAGAUACCCUAGUAGUC